ACUACGGGAGGCAGCAGUGGGGGAUAUUGCACAAUGGGGGAAACCCUGAUGCAGCGACGCCGCGUGUGGGAAGACGGUCCUCUGGAUUGUAAACCACUGUCCCCAGGGACGAAGAUGACGGUACCUGGGGAGGAAGCUCCGGCUAACUACGUGCCAGCAGCCGCGGUAAUACGUAGGGAGCGAGCGUUGUCCGGAAUUACUGGGUGUAAAGGGAGCGUAGGCGGGACUGCAAGUUGGGUGUCAAAUCUACCGGCUCAACCGGUAGCCGCACUCAAAACUGCAGUUCUUGAGUGAAGUAGAGGCAGGCGGAAUUCCGAGUGUAGCGGUGAAAUGCGUAGAUAUUAGGAGGAACACCAGUGGCGAAGGCGGCCUGCUGGUCUUUUACUGACGCUGAGGCUCGAAAGUGUGGGGAGCAAACAGGAUUAGAUACCCCUGUAGUC
RNAcentral lists this ribosomal RNA (440 nucleotides) under uncultured bacterium. RNAcentral describes it as "partial 16S ribosomal RNA". It matches the Rfam family "Bacterial small subunit ribosomal RNA", at positions 338 to 795 of the family's 1533-position model. The record is from RNAcentral.